AAAUCCCUGCGUGGUACGUAUUGACUGGAAUUUUAGAACCAACAAAUUUAAAACGGGAGUCCGCCUUUGGAUGUGGCGUGUAUGCUUAUAUUUAUAUAAGAAACCCAGGAGCAUUCAACAAGACACCCACCUGUGCAAACAGGUCCUUAAAAUUUCUUCAUCUUACGGCUAAUGUGGGGUAUUU
This is a non-coding RNA of Clostridium sp. CAG:798, 184 nucleotides long. The record is from Rfam. Lineage: Bacteria; Bacillati; Bacillota; Clostridia; Eubacteriales; Clostridiaceae.